UCGAGCCCUGUGCCAUUCCUCGGGUUCGUUCAAUUUUAUUGAAAAACUUCGGCAAGCUGCGGUUUGACGUGAAAUUAGUUAACGACUUGUCUCACACACAUAAAUUCGGUUAUAUAUUCGGUGGAUGCAGUUUCUUUGGACUUCUUGCGGGCGGUGGUCAUAAGAAAGUGAAUUUAUUGUAAAGAAGUGUUGCCGCUACAUUUAACUAAGUUUGGUGUACAUUUCACUUAUUUGAUUUACACUUUAAAUUGGCUCCUUCUCAAUGUGUUUGACUUUGUGUUAUUUUCGCUUUUGUUCUGUCGGCGUAGCUUGGAGUUUCUUCCGGGUUGCUUAUUGUUUGUUGCUAAUGAGCCACUUUUAGUUGUUGCAAAGUGCAAUUGUGGAAAACUUCAUGCAACUUCAGACAUUGGAAGUCUGAAGUGAUAAAAUGCGGUCGCACGGAUAUACGAUGUACUCUUCCAUCCGAAAAUGUGGUGCUUAAGGCAGAGGCGCGAAUGGUGAGAUUUUUGGUGAUUUAAUUUUAAGAUGGAUUACAGAAUCCGUGCUGUUCAAUAAUCAGGGUUGUGUUUAUUAAAAAAAAAAAAUAAUUAAAAUGGGUGGUUUUUGGGAUUACAAAUUAGUGGUUUAAAAAUUGUGUCGCUCCUCUUUAAAAGUGUAAAAAUUUAGUUUUUUAUCAAAUAUAAAUAGUUUCAAAGUGUAAGUUGCCGAACACUGCUCUAACCUAUUGAAGAUAAUGGCUCUGCGCGAGCUCUAGUUCGACAUCGUAGAAUGUAAUUUACUUUUGUCUAGCAGUGCAUGUUGGCCACUCAUGCGGUUUGCCCGCUGGAGGAAGAGGGGGCAGUUACCACCCCUCCGUCUUCGCUUUCUCCUCCUGUAUUCGCCCGAUGAGACUACCCCAAGUGCGAGAAGCUGAGCCAUAAUCGAUUUCGCCUGCAGAGCGCCGCUACAUGAAGGCAUGUCAUCGUCAUCCUCCCUGGCAUGCUCCUCAAAACAGCCUCGCUCCUCUGUCUAAGGUUAAUCAUUGUAUAUUGUAUCCUACGGCCUCAUGGGUUCGACAUAUGUCUAAGGUUACACCCUUGUGGAUUCCCUUGAUGAAUUUGACGAUUGUAUCUGGAUCUCAACUUAUUCACAGCCACAACUAAUGUACUAUAGCUGGGAGUAAUAUAAGACUCAAGGCUCAAAUUUAAGGAACGCCUAGAAUACACUUAAGGAUGAUGGCAACUAAGGACUGCGUGCGUCCCAGAAGGCGAUUUUUAUUUGCAAAGGAAUAGCCCAUUGACAUCUAGGUGACGAAUUCGCUAGAGUAUACAAAUUGUCGGAACCGUCUUUAGAAGAGGACAAAAGCAUCAAAAGUUCCCCAUUGUGCCAGCAGCGAUGACAACCCAAAAGGACGGUGAA
Molecule: long non-coding RNA, 1398 nt
Organism: Bactrocera dorsalis (oriental fruit fly)
Lineage: Eukaryota; Metazoa; Arthropoda; Insecta; Diptera; Tephritidae
Exons: 4
Source: RefSeq, a predicted model, not a curated record